Papaver somniferum (opium poppy) is the source of this 1649-nucleotide long non-coding RNA. RefSeq lists it as uncharacterized. Lineage: Eukaryota; Viridiplantae; Streptophyta; Magnoliopsida; Ranunculales; Papaveraceae. The record is from RefSeq and is a predicted model, not a curated record. The transcript has 3 exons.
UCUUCUUCUUUAUCUCAUUUAUUCUCUUCUCCUCUGCUUGUGUGCCUGAUGAAAGCGAUUGAUGUUGUCGAGAUGAUCUUGUGAUGAGAAAGAACAAAUUAAGUACAAGGUGUUGCUACUGGUGACGAAGCGGUGAUUUACAAAGAGGAUGGUAAAAGAUUGAAGUAGUAAAUCACAGAGAAUCGAAUUAGGGUUUCUGUGAUUUAAUUGGAGAAUUCGAUUAAGGGUGAAUACUGAGGAGUUAGAAGAUGGGUUUGUUCUUAUUUGGUGUUUGAUGGAAGCUAUGAUGUUGUUUGAUGAUUGAAUCAGUGAGUUAGGGUUUCAUGGAAUUAAAUUCAGUAGAGAUGAAAUUGAUGUUUAAGAGGAAUGAUUGAAGACUGGGUUUAGUCGAUUGAGGAGCGUGGUGAAGUUAAUUAGAUGUUGGAGCUGUUCUGAGGAAGAAUUGAGGAAAUAGGGUUUAUGUGCUUCCCCAAUUUUUGAAUUAGGGUUUAGGAUUUGAACUGAUUUGGAGGUGAUAGUUUUGAGUAGAGUGUUGAACUGAGUCAAAGCAAAGAAGAAGUUGGUUCGGCCGCUGGAGUCAACUGUUGGGGUGAAACCAAAUUGAGGUAAUUGUUUUCUCAGCAAACUUAGUUAAGAAUUCAUUCAAGUUUAAUUAUUGAGUUUAUAAGUUGGUCUUUGAGCUACGAAUUGAGAUGGAUGAAUUAGUAUUGCAAGAGUUGUAAUUGUAUUGGUGGUUUUGAAUGAAUGGCUUUUGAAUAUUUCAGUUGGGAGUGAGGUAUAAUUAUAAAUGGUUGUUGCAGAUUAGGUUUGAGAUUGUAUUGCAGUUGAGUUUGAGAUAUAGUGUUGCUGUCAGUGAUUCUGUUGUGCAGCUGAGUUUAGUUGUGGUGGUGAUGAUGUUGAUGUUACAGGGGAGGAGAUGUGUUUUGGUGGUGGUUCUGUAGUUGUUAUUUUAAUUCUGAAUUGAAGUAUGGUCUUGUGGGUGUUGAUGAUUCUAGGAUGUUUAGAUGAUUAAUGAAUUGAGUUUAAGGAAGGUGCUGCUGCUGUUGUUGUUUGUUGUGGAUCAAUGAGAGAUUUCAAUAGAUGGAUAUGAGUAAAUGGAGUUAUGUUUCUUGGUUGUUGCAGUGAAGAACUAGUAAUGAUGAAGCUGAGAAUGGCAAGGCCAUGAAGUGAUAUUGAGUUAUAGAAUUGUGGUGUUGAGAACUAGACAUGAUUGUGUUGUUUGAAUUGAACUGAAGUUGAUGUGGGUGUGGGUAUGGAUUUGGGUGUGAUUGACUGGACUAGUGUCGUAGAAUGGUGACUAGGUGGAUUAGUAUUGUAGUAGAACGCAGAAAGAAUGAAGGCUUGGAACUGCAAUCGCAGUUAGUCUAUUAACAACGAUCGAUUCAAAGGAUGAACCAGUGGAUUCGCGGAUCUCGAGGUAGGCGUGGCUUAUCAACAAAAGAGUUUCAGAGACAGAUCAGAGUAGCGCAGCGACAGCUUCAAGAGUCGAGUUCGCUAGUUGUUUAACUUCUGUUAUGUUUAUUAUGUUGCAUAUUAUAUUUGUAAUCCAAAUGACUAUUGUAUAUGUAUCAUUUGAGAGAAGUUCUUGUGUAUAUAUAUUUCUGAGCGGGGCUAGUUUUGGGUUAAGUUUUUAUAGCAGUUUUCUUAAU